UGAGACACGGUCCAGACUCCUACGGGAGGCAGCAGUGGGGAAUUUUCCGCAAUGGGCGCAAGCCUGACGGAGCAAUACCGCGUGAGGGAGGAAGGCUCUUGGGUUGUAAACCUCUUUUAUCAGGGAAGAAAGAAUGACGGUACCUGAUGAAUCAGCAUCGGCUAACUCCGUGCCAGCAGCCGCGGUAAUACGGGGGAUGCAAGCGUUAUCCGGAAUUAUUGGGCGUAAAGCGUCCGUAGGUGGCUUAUCAAGUCUGCUGUUAAAGAAUGCGGCUCAACCGCAUAUGGGCAGUGGAAACUGAUGAGCUAGAGUGCGAUAGGGGUUACAGGAAUUCCCAGUGUAGCGGUGAAAUGCGUAGAUAUUGGGAAGAACACCAGCGGCGAAAGCGUGUGACUGGGUCUGCACUGACACUGAGGGACGAAAGCUAGGGGAGCGAAAGGGAUUAGAUACCCCUGUAGUCCUAGCCGUAAACGAUGACAACUAGGUGUGGUUCGUAUCGACCCGAGCCGUGCCGUAGCCAACGCGUUAAGUUGUCCGCCUGGGGAGUACGCACGCAAGUGUGAAACUCAAAGGAAUUGACGGGGGCCCGCACAAGCGGUGGAGUAUGUGGUUUAAUUCGAUGCAACGCGAAGAACCUUACCAAGGCUUGACAUCCUGCGAAUCUCCUUGAAAGGGGAGAGUGCCUUCGGGAGCGCAGAGACAGGUGGUGCAUGGCUGUCGUCAGCUCGUGUCGUGAGAUGUUGGGUUAAGUCCCGCAACGAGCGCAACCCACGUUUUUAGUUGCCAUCAUUCAGUUGGGCACUCUAGAGAGACUGCCGGUGACAAACCGGAGGAAGGUGUGGAUGACGUCAAGUCAGCAUGCCCCAUACGCCUUGGGCUACACACGUACUACAAUGCGUUGGACAGAGGGUCGCAAGCGUGCGAGCGCAAGCCAAUCUCGUAAACCAACGCUCAGUUCAGAUUGCAGGCUGCAACUCGCCUGCAUGAAGGCGGAAUCGCUAGUAAUCGCAGGUCAGCAUACUGCGGUGAAUGCGUUCCCGGGCCUUGUACACACCGCCCGUCACACCAUGGGGGUUGGUCAUGCCCGAAGUCGUUACUCUAACCGUUCGCGGA
Molecule: ribosomal RNA, 1113 nt
Filed under: Plectolyngbya hodgsonii ANT.LG2.2
Lineage: Bacteria; Bacillati; Cyanobacteriota; Cyanophyceae; Leptolyngbyales; Leptolyngbyaceae
Description: bacterial SSU rRNA
Rfam family: Bacterial small subunit ribosomal RNA
Source: RNAcentral